Non-coding RNA from Pelobates cultripes (western spadefoot toad), 216 nucleotides. Lineage: Eukaryota; Metazoa; Chordata; Amphibia; Anura; Pelobatidae. The record is from the annotation of a GenBank genome assembly.
GUAUGUUUUAGGAAAAUAAGUUGUAUAUUUUUAAAGUUACAACAUGUGUGUAAAAACUGUAUAUUUUCUGCCUGUGAUAAUUAAGUUAGUCUAUUGUGUUGAGAUAAUUGUAUCACAGGCAGAGGGGAGAUGUGUGGGAGGUAACAUGUAUCUGAUUGGUGACUGUACUAAGUAUUGUGGGUGCCUCCCUUGCAGUGAGAGAGAGGCAUAAAAGCA